ACGUAGGGUGCGAGCGUUAAUCGGAAUUACUGGGCGUAAAUCGUGCGCAGGCGGCUUUGCAAGCCAGACGUGAAAGCCCCGGGCUUAACCUGGGAAUGGCGUUUGGGACUGCAAGGCUGGAGUGCGGCAGAGGGAACUGGAAUUCCUGGUGUAGCAGUGAAAUGCGUAGAUAUCAGGAGGAACACCGAUGGCGAAGGCAGGUUCCUGGGCCAGCACUGACGCUCAUGCACGAAAGCGUGGGGAGCAAACAGGAUUAGAUACCCUGGUAGUCCACGCCCUAAACGAUGGCAACUAGUUGUUGGGGGGGAAACCCCUUAGUAACGAAGCUAACGCGUGAAGUUGCCCGCCUGGGGAGUACGGUCGCAAGAUUA
RNAcentral lists this ribosomal RNA (371 nucleotides) under uncultured bacterium. Its description in RNAcentral is "bacterial SSU rRNA". It matches the Rfam family "Bacterial small subunit ribosomal RNA", at positions 525 to 896 of the family's 1533-position model. The record is from RNAcentral.